This 609-nucleotide ribosomal RNA is filed under the name Symmetrospora symmetrica. Its description in RNAcentral is "partial large subunit ribosomal RNA". It matches the Rfam family "Eukaryotic large subunit ribosomal RNA", at positions 48 to 644 of the family's 3401-position model. Lineage: Eukaryota; Fungi; Basidiomycota; Cystobasidiomycetes; Symmetrosporaceae. The record is from RNAcentral.
UAGCGGAGGAAAAGAAACUAACAAGGAUUCCCCUAGUAACGGCGAGUGAAGUGGGAAAAGCUCAACUUUGUAAUCUGGCAGCUUUGCUGUCCGAGUUGUAGUCUCGAGAAGUGUUUUCCGCGCUGGAUCGUGUAUGAGUCUGUUGGAAUACAGCGUCAUAGAGGGUGAGAACCCCGUUCGUGACACGACUACCAGUGCUUUGUGAUACAUUUUCGAUGAGUCGAGUUGUUUGGGAAUGCAGCUCAAAUUGGGUGGUAAAUUCCAUCUAAAGCUAAAUAUUGGCGAGAGACCGAUAGCAAACAAGUACCGUGAGGGAAAGAUGAAAAGCACUUUGGAAAGAGAGUUAACAGUACGUGAAAUUGUUGAAAGGGAAACGUUUGAAGUCAGACGUGCGUUGUGCGAUUCAGCUCCGGUUCGCCGGAGUGUAUUUCGUACUAUUGCAGGCCAGCAUCGGUUUGGCGAGUCGGAUAAAGGUUAGAGAAAGGUAGCGGCUCCGGCCGUGUUAUAGUCUUUAACUGAAUACGAAUUGCUAGACCGAGGGACGCAGCGCGCCGCAAGGCAAAGCUCUCGGGCUUUUCGCGCUUAGGAUGCUGGUGAAAUGGCUUUAAA